CGUUGCCGAGUGAUGAACCCCAGGGCAGGAGCGGAGGAACCAACUUCUGCGUGAACGCCUCACGGCGCUCGCGCUCGGGGUGAAGUCCUCACCAGGACCGGGCCACGUCUCUCGCCCGAACCCGACAGCUCACUUCGCAGGCGUUGCAGGGACACCGA
This 158-nucleotide small RNA is filed under the name Mumia flava. RNAcentral describes it as "c-di-AMP sequence". It matches the Rfam family "c-di-AMP riboswitch aptamer (ydaO/yuaA leader)". Rfam says of the family: This family represents a conserved RNA structure found upstream of the ydaO and yuaA genes in Bacillus subtilis and related genes in other bacteria. The ydaO/yuaA element is thought to act as a genetic "off" switch for the ydaO and yuaA genes in its native state. The record is from RNAcentral. Lineage: Bacteria; Bacillati; Actinomycetota; Actinomycetes; Propionibacteriales; Nocardioidaceae.